Long non-coding RNA from Harmonia axyridis, 1168 nucleotides. RefSeq lists it as uncharacterized. Lineage: Eukaryota; Metazoa; Arthropoda; Insecta; Coleoptera; Coccinellidae. The record is from RefSeq and is a predicted model, not a curated record. The transcript is spliced from 5 exons.
AAUAAAUUGAUAUUCUUGGUAAAAUCUUCCUUACACCGAUUUCCCCCCCCCAAAUACACCGAUUUCGCGCAGUCAUUUAUACCGAUCUUGAGUUUACACUUUCGGCAACACUGCUUGCAAUAUUAUUUCAACCUAGAAGCUGAAACGAGACGUUGGCCGUUGAAGUUGUACAAGUACUGUAUGCACUGAUCCAGAAAUGCAGGAAGACUCUAUUGAAUUGAUCAUGCCCAAAAACCUAUACAUGAAGAUUCGAAUGAGCCUAUGGAAAUAGAGGAAUUCCAGAGAACUUGUCCAGUUGUAAAUAAUGAGGAGAUGCCUGUUAUUGAAAGUCGUGAAAAUCAUUGUAGAGGCAACUAAGAGUUUCCAAAUAUAACUUGUCUCAACGAGAAAUGAUUUUGUUUAAUCUUUCAAAAAAAUCCAAACGCAGAUAUAACAUGGUCUCCAAUAAAUUCAAGACUAGGAUGAACGAGGCAAAAAAAUUUAUGGAGAGUAAAUUAUUUGGAAAAUUGGCUACCUCUGUCAACCAGAUAUUAUAGACAAAUGCAGUCUACCUUCCGAAGUAGCAGACACUGCCGAAUUCAUUUUAUUUUUGGAUAAAUUAUUCGAUUCUCUCAAUGUAUCGAAGAUUAGAAAUACACAGGGUGAGUUUUUGAAGGAACCAAUAACGAUUAAAUCAGAACAUGAAAUCUUUCGGGAAAAAUCAGAAAAAAUUUUUGAAAAAAUGUAUUUUUACGACGACAAAAAGAAAAAUGUGGUGGUACCUACCAUAAAAAAAUUUAUUUUGACUUCAAAAGCUUUCGUUUACCAUAAGAGGAGAUUGUUAACUGAAAAAAAAUUUCAAGUAUAUCUUGACUGGUGCUUUCAAUCAAGAUUGCCUCGAAAUUUUUUUUCAGUUAUAUCCGAGGGCAUGGUGUAGGGAACACUAAUCCAAAUAUUGGCCAGUUUAUGUCCUCUUUCAAAUGCCUUACUUUGAAUAACUUUAUGUCCUCCCAUUCUGUAGGUUCCAACUGUGAAGAGGAUUUGACAUCACAUUGUUUGGAUAAUCUAAAAUCAUUUGUUUCAUCACAAUCUCCCUUACCUCAAAGUGUUGUGCUUGAAGAUUUAAAUAUGGUUAUUCCAAAAUUAAUAGUCCUUGAACAAAAAUCAAAAUUUAGUAGAUGUUCUCUAG